This 468-nucleotide ribosomal RNA is filed under the name uncultured bacterium. RNAcentral describes it as "partial 16S ribosomal RNA". It matches the Rfam family "Bacterial small subunit ribosomal RNA", at positions 28 to 507 of the family's 1533-position model. The record is from RNAcentral.
GACGAACGCUGGCGGCGUGCUUAACACAUGCAAGUCGAACGGACAGGCCCUGCUUUUGUGGGGUGGUCGAGUGGCGAACGGGGGAGUAACACGUGAGUAACCUGCCCCUGACUUUCUGGUAACUCCAUGAAACUGGGGCUAAAACCGGGGAGGAGCUCCUGCUCCGUAUGGGUGGUUGGAGAGAGUCGGCUGUUGGGGAUGGUCUCGCGGCUUAUCAGCUUGUUGGUCUGGUAGUUGCUUACCAGGGUUUUGACGGGUAGCCGGCCUGAGAGGGUGACCGGCGUCAUGGGGACUGAGAUACGGGCCAGAAUCGUAGGGGGGGCAGCAGUGGGGAAGCUUGCAGAAUGGGGCGAAGUCUGAUGCAGAAACGCCGCGUGCGGGAUGACGGCCUUUGGGUUGUAAACCGAUGUCGCCGGUGCUGAGGCGUGCGUGACGGUAACGGGUAAAGAAGCACCGGCUAACUACGUG